Molecule: long non-coding RNA, 2302 nt
Filed under: Mytilus galloprovincialis (Mediterranean mussel)
Lineage: Eukaryota; Metazoa; Mollusca; Bivalvia; Mytilida; Mytilidae
Source: RNAcentral
UACAUCAACUACAUCUGACUUGUAUACUUUAGAUAAAAGUGCAAACAAGGUAAUUAUACUUUCAUAUGUUUACUGUUUAUAUUAUAGAAUGUCUUUUCCUUUGUUCAAUCAUCUGUUAUAUAAUUUUAUUUUAAUUUAAAAUACAGAAAGCUUUUAUUAUACAAUUUAACUACAGUACUAUUUGAAAUAAUGCAAAUGGCAACAAAUUGAUACAGUCUCAGGAAUACAAAGGAAUAAAACUAUUUGAUGCAAAAUAUAACAAGAAUGUGUCCCAAAUACACGGAUACCUUAUUCGCACUAUCAUUUAGUAUUUUCAAUGGACCGUGAAAGCGGGAUAAAAACUCUUAAUUUGGCAUUAAAAUUAGAAAGAUUAUAUCAUAGGGAAUAUGUGUACUAAAUUUCAAGUUGAUUGGACUUCAACUUCAUCAAAAACUACCUUGACCAAAAACUUUAACCUGAAGCGGGACAGACGGACGAACGAACGGACGGACGAACGAACGGACGAACAGACCAGAAACCAUAAUGCGAUGGACAAAAAAAGUUGAGACGAAUGGCAAUGAUGUAAAUGAAAGAGCUAUACAUUGAAGACCACAAGACAAAACUAACGGCUGAUAUUAACUAUAAAAACAAUAAACGAAAAUACCAUUAUGGUAUACGGCAACCACCGACAGCUACUGGAUAACUGGCCUCUUGACGAGGACAGAAACACAAAAAAUAUGGCAGGGUUUAACAGGUGUGUUAACGCUCAAAACUCUCCUUAUAGUUGUGUUACACAGAAAAUGCAUGUACAAUGCUUUAUUACUUUUAAGGAAACCAUUUCAAUAUGAAGAAAUCAGCAAUUGUUGGAGCAAUGUUUGUUUUACUUCUGAUCUAUUCGUGUGGUGAGUAAACAGAAUUCCUUAUUUUACAUGUUUUAUUUGUUAAUAUAAUCUGUAAUCAAAGGGAGAGGCUUAGCGCUUUAAAACCAGGUUUAAUUCCCCAUUUUCUACAUUUGAAAUUGCCUGUACCAAGUCAGGAAUAUGACAGUUCUUGUCCAUUCGUUUUUUAUGUGUUUCGUCAUUUGAUUUUGCCAUGUGAUUACGGACUUUCCGAUUUGAUUUUCCCCUGAGUUCGGCAUUUUUGAGAUUUGACUUUUUGUAUAAUCAAGUAUCUUAUUGUAUUAUAACAAAACUUCAUCAAUAGAUUACAGCUUUCUCUUGGUCGAAAUUUACAGGUCCUAGUGAAACAAAAACUACAAACAUUUAUUUUAUUUAUUCAAUGGGACAAUGUACAAACAAAAAUUAAAUAUCUGAUCCAAAAGGGGAUUAAUCUGGUGAAAAAUUUCAUAUGGUUUGCAAUCAUAAUUACUAAAAAUAUAUUUAAUGGUAUUUCAUCUUUAUAAUUAAAAGUGUAUUUGUAAAUGAAAAACAGUAAAAAAAAACAGAUAGAAGGAAAAGGAUAUGAUAAACACAAUAAGUGAACAAACUGUUUUUGUUAACAAUGCUGUUAUUGCUAUUCUUCCAUCUCUAUUAAUAUAGAUUCUAUCUAUAAGAAGUAAAAAGAAUGUAAAAUAUUGCUGUAACAUAUUUGACUUACUAGUAAGACGUCUUUUGUUGCUGCAACUAAUGAAUCUUUCAAAUACACUUUUCAGUCAAUGAAGUACAAGGGGCGGAACCCAAAAACAGUGUACGGGUUCUCAAGUGUUCUAAACACUGCAUACUGCCAUUUACAAAAAGGAAGUGUAAAAAAUGUUGUAAAGAUAAUGGAAAGAAACACGGACGAUGCUUUUCUGUCUUUUGUGUUUGUUGGAACUGGCCGUAAGGUAUAGGGUGAGUAUAACUAAUAGUCGCCAUGAGAUGAGAAUAAACACGUAUAACUAAACCAAUGUCAGCCUUUGGACUAAGUGAGUAAAUUUUUGAACUCCAUAACAGCUUAUCUUAAAAAGAUUAUAUUUAUUCUGGGAGGUCUGAAUAAGCUUGAUUCAUCUUCAUUCACUGCAAGUUCUGUUUGGUCGAUACUUUUGUGUUGUAGGGGUCUGUAAUGCAGUGGUUGUCUUUGGUCGCUGUCUAUCAAUUAUCGUUGUUGUUAGGAGGUAUCCAAUAGAUUAAUAUUCAUUAUUAAGUUAACUCAUUAUCGAUGGCGCUAUGGUUAAAUAUACUUGCUUCCAACUGCUUUGUUCAGUCGUUGGUAGCAAUAAUAGGACAUUCCAUUUUAUAUUACAUCUUGGCGAACUUUGUAUUAACCAUUUAUGUUAUAUGCAAUGAAUUUAGUCCAUUUAGGACUUGAUUUUAUUUAUUAAGGACUCCCUUGGCAACUGAACUGG